GGAGUUUUUUAUUUUUAAAUGGAAAAUUCAGUUUGUUCUGACGGGACAGAAUGAAAAAUGAGAAACUAGACUGGUUGCUACCACAUGCCUGAGGGGUGACUCACCACCAGCUCUGCUGAGUGCAGACUCAGGGCAACUGCUGAGUGAGCAGCCCUACUUUGGCUGAAAUUAUGCCUCAAAGCCAGGCCUGCUAGAUCAAGCUGAAGCAACCCAGGAAUCUUUCUGGUUGCUGCUGCAUGUCUGAAGGGUGAUUCACCACCAGCCCUGCUGAUUGCAUGGUCAGGACAACAGCUGAGUGACCAGCCCUAGAUUGGCUGAGAGUUUGCCUCACAGCCAGGCCUGCAACCCAGGGACCUUGCUGGGCAGAAAGAAAGAAACACGACGAGAGCAGGAUGGAGGAUCCCGUGUGUGAUUGAUUGGAGCUUGCUGCACUUUACAUGGUAGGAAGGAGCUGAAGGGUAGUUGGAGCUUCUCCUCUUUUACAUCACUGGAAGGGGAGGGGAGAGAAGUAUGAGUGACCCCAACAGACGCUGCCUUCUGGAACAUUAUGGUAGCUCCCCCAGCACAGGUGCCUUGAUCAUACGAGUGGGAAUAAGCAGAGGCCACUCAAAGAAGAAUGACUGUCAAAGCCAUGUCACCGGUAUUUAGUAAUCAAAAUCCAUUUGUCAUUAUAGGAAUGUGUGAUCCCAGCAACAGUAACAAUUUUAAGAAAAAAUUUCCACUCAGUUCCUAAAUGUAUUCAAAAUAUAUUAUACCAAUCAAUAGUUUUUUAAGGUGAAAAUUCUUACCACAAUACUCACGUUUAUAAUUGAUGGACAGGUAGAUGGCAAAGAUUAUGAAGAUCAGGACAACUACUGUCAGAAUAAAUAUCUGAAUCCAAUCUGUGGUAGAAAAAUCAUCCAAGAAAUAUUACAAACUCCAGUACUUAUACAAUAUUGUAAGAUAUAUAAUACCAUUUCAGUUAUAAAACAUUGCUCAAGCAGCUCAUAUUAGAUUUAUACCAGACAAGAAGCUGUAAUAGCACUUUAUAGAGCAACACAAACAUUAAAAUAAAUAAAUAAAUAAAACACCCUAUUUUAUCUGUGUACAGUCUCAAUCCUGCAAACACUUAAGCGUAUGCUCAACUUCAAUUGCUUUCAAUGGGAGUACUCAGAGUAAUAAAGUUAAUCAUCUGCUCGCAGGGCCAGGAGCUUUAGAAUGACAGUGUUUCUUAAAAUAUGCUAGCUAACAUACUAACGAACAUGUUUACUAGUACUGGACUUUGGCACCUCUCCCUAGACUUAGAUGCCUAAGUCCUGCUCUCAGGGGAUACUAAGAUCCAUGAACUUAAUGUAUGGCUGCUGCUGAACCCUAUAGGUGCCUAAAUUCACCCAAUACUCAUAUUAUUGCUGUAAAAGUUCCCCAAAUGUUUUUGUUUCUAUCUCUGGGUGUGUGCAUGGCUGCCUCACUUGAUGUUCCCAGAUGCCUUCCUCCUUCCUAAACCCCAAAGCAAGCCAUGGACAAGAUGUUGCUCUGCCUAAUGUUCUGUGGGUCCAAUGUGUAGGUGUUCUCAAAGACUGCCUAAUUCUACACCAAAAGGGAGAGGAGGAGGAAGAAGAAGACAAUGUGUCUUGUGCUGACUGGCUGUUCAUUUCAACCCCCUCCUAUCCCCUCCCUCACAUCUUUGUUCUCCCCCUAAGACUCACUGACCCCGUGUCCACCUUUAUCCUCUUCUUCUCCCUGGCCUUGUCUCCCUCAAUCCCCUCCUUUUAACAUCCCCCCAUCCCUUUACUUUUAGCUAAUCACCUCCUAAGAAGAGAAAAAGAAAAGGAAAACAAAUUGUGGCACUAACAUACCAUUUGUUGCCAUCACACUGUUUUUUGUAAUAGCCCU
Molecule: long non-coding RNA, 1872 nt
Organism: Mauremys mutica (yellowpond turtle)
Lineage: Eukaryota; Metazoa; Chordata; Testudines; Geoemydidae
Exons: 4
Source: RefSeq, a predicted model, not a curated record